Molecule: ribosomal RNA, 429 nt
Filed under: Chloroflexota bacterium
Lineage: Bacteria; Bacillati; Chloroflexota
Description: Chloroflexi bacterium partial 16S ribosomal RNA
Rfam family: Bacterial small subunit ribosomal RNA
Source: RNAcentral
UGGGGAAUAUUGCACAAUGGGCGCAAGCCUGAUGCAGCCAUGCCGCGUGUAUGAAGAAGGCCUUCGGGUUGUAAAGUACUUUCAGCGGGGAGGAAGGGAGUAAAGUUAAUACCUUUGCUCAUUGACGUUACCCGCAGAAGAAGCACCGGCUAACUCCGUGCCAGCAGCCGCGGUAAUACGGAGGGUGCAAGCGUUAAUCGGAAUUACUGGGCGUAAAGCGCACGCAGGCGGUUUGUUAAGUCAGAUGUGAAAUCCCCGGGCUCAACCUGGGAACUGCAUCUGAUACUGGCAAGCUUGAGUCUCGUAGAGGGGGGUAGAAUUCCAGGUGUAGCGGUGAAAUGCGUAGAGAUCUGGAGGAAUACCGGUGGCGAAGGCGGCCCCCUAGUCGAAGACUGACGCUCAGGUGCGAAAGCGUGGGGAGCAAACAGG